GUGAGGAAUAUUGCACAAUGGGGGCAACCCUGACGCAGCAACGCCGCGUGGAGGAAGAAGGCCUCCGGGUCGUAAACUCCUGUCCCCGGGGAAGAACCCAAUGACGGUACCCGGGGAGGAAGCCCCGGCUAACUCCGUGCCAGCAGCCGCGGUAAUACGGGGGGGGCGAGCGUUGUUCGGAAUUACUGGGCGUAAAGGGCGCGUAGGCGGCGCGAGAAGUUCCGGGUGAAAGCCCCCGGCUCAACCGGGGAAGGGCCUGGAAAACCAUCGCGCUGGAGUGCCGGAGAGGCAAGCGGAAUUUCUGGUGUAGCGGUGAAAUGCGUAGAUAUCAGAAGGAACACCUGCGGCGAAGGCGGCUUGCUGGACGGACACUGACGCUGAGGCGCGAAAGCCAGGGGAGCAA
RNAcentral lists this ribosomal RNA (403 nucleotides) under uncultured bacterium. RNAcentral's name for it is "bacterial SSU rRNA". It matches the Rfam family "Bacterial small subunit ribosomal RNA", at positions 354 to 771 of the family's 1533-position model. The record is from RNAcentral.